AUCAAGCAUCACAAAGGAAUAUCCUUUAUUCUUUUCUCAACUCAACCACCAAAUUAAUUCAUUCUUAUCUUUCCAACUCACCAUCUCUAUUUCCAACCACUCAUUCAAAUUUCAAAUUUCUACUCUAUCUUUCUCUCUCAUUUAAAUUAUUCAAUUUUCUGAUCACUUUCUCUCUCUUACGUGGGCCCCACCCCAAGAAGAAAUCAAUUCACUCUCUCACUCACUUCACCCACUCACGCUCUCUCUCUCUCUCUCUCUUCUCCCUCACUCGACAUCUCUCCCUCACUUUCUUCUUCUUCUCCAUUUUUCUUCUCCUCCAUUUUCCUCUGCAACCCUAAGCCACACACCACCUCCUUCUCCUCUCAUGGCCGCCGCCACCCAAGGCCAAGCCGCCACCACAGCGAGCCUUCUCCGCUCACGCGAACCACCACUUCCAUGCCUCUUCACCGCGAACGCACCACCACCAUAGGUGACCCCCGCCGCCUCUCCUCAGUUCUCCAGCAAGCAUGGCGGCCACAACCGCCAUCACCCACUCCCAGCGCCAUGAACGACGCCACCAACGCAAGGACAAGAGAGAAAACGAAACCCUAAAAACCGCCACCUUCCAACUCCGAUCUCCGGCGAACCACUGAGUUUUUGGAGAAACCAACCACACCAUGGAACUCCCCUCAACGUGCGCUGCAAAACCCCUGAAGAAAUUUUGGAUUCCGACCACCUUCGCCGGAAACCGCCGCCAGCCACCGUGAACCACCGUCUUCUCCGGCCAACCUUCGCCGGAGAUGUCACUGAACUCAGAACCAGGAAGCUCUCCUCCUCCUCUUGCUGAAUUGAUUAUCAAUUUUGGUGUUGUUCAACAAUGAUGGUCCUCAGAGGAAGGCAGAAGCUGCUGUUACAGAAGAUGAAGAAGCAAAUUCAGAACCUUAGCCAUGAGGCUUAAGGUAGAAAACGAAAUAUUUUUCUGUGGUAUCGUUUUAAUUCUUGUAGGGGCUGAAAAUGUUUUUGAAAAUGUAAGGGCAUUGGAGAUGGUUAAUCUCUAGUUAGUUCUGUUUUUGAUGUAUUGAUUACCUCUCGAUGAGCAUGGGUUCAAUAUUAGAUUAGGAGAAGUUAUGCUAUUGUUGUCCUGUGACUAUAGUAGCUGCUGUUCUGUGAAAUUCGUAGGUUUAAUGACCGAAUUUGAAGAAGUAGUCUUCAUAAGAAUUGUAGCAUUUUCUGUUAGCAAACUUUUGCCACUGGUUUCAUGUCA
This is a long non-coding RNA of Lotus japonicus, 1243 nucleotides long. RefSeq lists it as uncharacterized. The transcript has 2 exons. The record is from RefSeq and is a predicted model, not a curated record. Lineage: Eukaryota; Viridiplantae; Streptophyta; Magnoliopsida; Fabales; Fabaceae.